AGAGUUUGAUCCUGGCUCAGAUUGAACGCUGGCGGCAUGCCUUACACAUGCAAGUCGAACGGUAGCGGGCCUUCGGGUGCCGACGAGUGGCGAACGGGUGAGUAAUGUAUCGGAACGUACCUUUCAGUGGGGGAUAACGUAGCGAAAGUUACGCUAAUACCGCAUACUCUGUGAGCAGGAAAGCAGGGGAUCGCAAGACCUUGCGCUGAUUGAGCGGCCGAUAUCAGAUUAGCUAGUUGGUGGGGUAAAAGCUCACCAAGGCGACGAUCUGUAGCGGGUCUGAGAGGAUGAUCCGCCACACUGGAACUGAGACACGGUCCAGACUCCUACGGGAGGCAGCAGUGGGGAAUUUUGGACAAUGGGGGCAACCCUGAUCCAGCCAUGCCGCGUGAGUGAAGAAGGCCUUCGGGUUGUAAAGCUCUUUCGGCCGGGAAGAAAUCGCAUGGGUUAAUACCCUGUGCGGAUGACGGUACCGGCAUA
RNAcentral lists this ribosomal RNA (480 nucleotides) under uncultured bacterium. Its description in RNAcentral is "bacterial SSU rRNA". It matches the Rfam family "Bacterial small subunit ribosomal RNA", at positions 8 to 485 of the family's 1533-position model. The record is from RNAcentral.